RNAcentral lists this ribosomal RNA (711 nucleotides) under Bacillus sp. KF-72. RNAcentral's name for it is "bacterial SSU rRNA". It matches the Rfam family "Bacterial small subunit ribosomal RNA", at positions 55 to 748 of the family's 1533-position model. Lineage: Bacteria; Bacillati; Bacillota; Bacilli; Caryophanales; Bacillaceae. The record is from RNAcentral.
CUGCAGUCGAGCGAUGGAUUAAGAGCUUGCUCUUAUGAAGUUAGCGGCGGACGGGUGAGUAACACGUGGGUAACCUACCCAUAAGACUGGGAUAACUCCGGGAAACCGGGGCUAAUACCGGAUAAUAUUUUGAACUGCAUAGUUCGAAAUUGAAAGGCGGCUUCGGCUGUCACUUAUGGAUGGACCCGCGUCGCAUUAGCUAGUUGGUGAGGUAACGGCUCACCAAGGCGACGAUGCGUAGCCGACCUGAGAGGGUGAUCGGCCACACUGGGACUGAGACACGGCCCAGACUCCUACGGGAGGCAGCAGUAGGGAAUCUUCCGCAAUGGACGAAAGUCUGACGGAGCAACGCCGCGUGAGUGAUGAAGGCUUUCGGGUCGUAAAACUCUGUUGUUAGGGAAGAACAAGUGCUAGUUGAAUAAGCUGGCACCUUGACGGUACCUAACCAGAAAGCCACGGCUAACUACGUGCCAGCAGCCGCGGUAAUACGUAGGUGGCAAGCGUUAUCCGGAAUUAUUGGGCGUAAAGCGCGCGCAGGUGGUUUCUUAAGUCUGAUGUGAAAGCCCACGGCUCAACCGUGGAGGGUCAUUGGAAACUGGGAGACUUGAGUGCAGAAGAGGAAAGUGGAAUUCCAUGUGUAGCGGUGAAAUGCGUAGAGAUAUGGAGGAACACCAGUGGCGAAGGCGACUUUCUGGUCUGUAACUGACACUG